RNAcentral lists this ribosomal RNA (206 nucleotides) under uncultured bacterium. RNAcentral's name for it is "partial 16S ribosomal RNA". It matches the Rfam family "Bacterial small subunit ribosomal RNA", at positions 568 to 774 of the family's 1533-position model. The record is from RNAcentral.
CGUGUAGGCGGUUGCCCAAGUCGGAUGUGAAAGCCUUGAGCUCAACUCAAGAAAUGCAUUCGGUACUGGGUGACUAGAGGACCGGAGAGGAUAGUGGAAUUCCCAGUGUAGUGGUGAAAUACGUAGAGAUUGGAAGAACACCAGUGGCGAAGGCGGCUAUCUGGACGGUUUCUGACGCUAAGACGCGAAAGCGUGGGGAGCAAACA